UUCUUGCAGAAGGUGCGGUUGGGCAGUGGCUCCUUCGGCACUGUCUGGCGAGCGGUGGAUAGACAGAGCUCAGAGCCCGUGGCGGUGAAGCAGUUGGAAAAGGCCAGGCUGGAGAAGGAGCGGCGAAAAGGAGCGGAGUCGCGCCGCGAUGUGGCGCGCGA
This 161-nucleotide non-coding RNA is filed under the name Pseudo-nitzschia fraudulenta. Lineage: Eukaryota; Bacillariophyta; Bacillariophyceae; Bacillariales; Bacillariaceae. The record is from RNAcentral.